GAUUUCUGGCUUGAAACAUUUUGCCGGCCACGGUUUCGUGUGUUAGUGCUUUGUGUUCUGGCCAUCCUUCCAAUCGCUAUUCAGCUUUCUUCAUUGAUUGUUGAGUGGUAUUGGAUCUUUUACUUUGAAAAAAUUAGAGUGUUUCAAGCAGGCUUUAUGCUAUGAAUACAUUAGCAUGGAAUAAUAAUUUAGGACUUCGGUUCUAUUUUGUUGGUUUCUAGGACUGAAGUAAUGAUUGAUAGGGAUAGUUGGGGGUGCUAGUAUUCAGCGGCCAGAGGUGAAAUUCUCGGAUUCGCUGAAGACUAACUUAUGCGAAAGCAUU
Molecule: ribosomal RNA, 322 nt
Filed under: uncultured Limnofilidae
Lineage: Eukaryota; Cercozoa; Limnofilidae
Description: SSU rRNA
Rfam family: Eukaryotic small subunit ribosomal RNA (bases 112-322)
Source: RNAcentral